CGUAGGGAGCAAGCGUUGUCCGGAUUUACUGGGUGUAAAGGGUGCGUAGGCGGCUUUGCAAGUCAGAUGUGAAAUCUAUGGGCUCAACCCAUAGCCUGCAUUUGAAACUGCAGAGCUUGAGUGAAGUAGAGGCAGGCGGAAUUCCCCGUGUAGCGGUGAAAUGCGUAGAGAUGGGGAGGAACACCAGUGGCGAAGGCGGCCUGCUGGGCUUUAACUGACGCUGAGGCACGAAAGCGUGGGUAGCAA
Molecule: ribosomal RNA, 246 nt
Filed under: uncultured bacterium
Lineage: Bacteria
Description: partial 16S ribosomal RNA
Rfam family: Bacterial small subunit ribosomal RNA
Source: RNAcentral